AAUUUGCUCACCCACCUGAAGACAGUACACGAAGGUCGUAAAGAUUAUGCAUGCGAAAAAUGCGAUAAGAAAUUUGCACGAAAAUCGAACUUAUUUGUGCACCAAAGGACCAGACACAAAGACCAUUAAAAUUUAGCACACGACAAAUGUGAGAAGACAUCAAGUCCUCAAACCUAUCGAAAAAUAUGAGGUUUUCUACACAGUGAGAACUAAUAUUGACUACUGGACUUUUUGUAAACGUCAUGACUUAUUUCACGGUUAAAGAGGGACCUCGUGACGAGUCGUUUAUUGAAAAUGAUUAGGAGACAGUUGACGAGUAAUCCGAUUUGAUACACUUUCAACUUUCGCCAUUUCCACGAAAAAAUUCAAUCCAAACGCUUUGGAAAAGUGACAAUAAAACUUAAAAAUAAAUUCUCUUCUAUCGCGUUAACUGAAAUUAGAACUGGUUCAAAUUUGGAAGGCAAUGUACAAACAGAUGAAGCGGAAACUUGAUUGAAAAUAAUAUGAUUAGAAACGACUUUGACAUUGUUCCUCAACACACUGAUCGUGUUAACAGUUAAUUCAAAUUAGUUUGAAUGUUGUCUUUCCAGAUGAAACACUAAAUAGAAGGAUCCGUCGUUUAAUUUACGUACCAAAAUGGAUAAAAGUGAAAAGAGAACCGAGGAAAUUGUCUCGAACGAUAAUGUAAGUGAAAACGAAAAAAAAUUCGUUUGUGAUAUUUGUCAAGAGGCAUUUGCACUAGAGUUAAGUAUGAUAGCACACCGAGACACAAUUCACCAUGAACGAAAAGAUUACGCUUGUGACAAGUGC
Molecule: long non-coding RNA, 810 nt
Organism: Trichogramma pretiosum
Lineage: Eukaryota; Metazoa; Arthropoda; Insecta; Hymenoptera; Trichogrammatidae
Exons: 3
Source: RefSeq, a predicted model, not a curated record